Pelobates cultripes (western spadefoot toad) is the source of this 583-nucleotide non-coding RNA. The record is from the annotation of a GenBank genome assembly. NCBI's taxonomy places the organism in Eukaryota, Metazoa, Chordata, Amphibia, Anura, Pelobatidae.
CACCAAACGAUAUCACCUAUACUUUCUAUCAAAUAUAUAUGCUUUAAUAAUUUGAACAUCAAACAACAUAACUUAUCAAUAUAACUUAACAAUGUUCCAUAAACAUACCUGUGACGAAGUGCCCUUCGCCACUUGUGCCUGGAGAGGACUGCUUGCCCGCCUCUUGCCCUGUGACUAUGGCCCAUGGGAUGUAUUGCACUUUAAAGACAUGAUUUGGGCAUAAUGGAUUUGUGUUGUGCUGCUGCUGGCCCUUUAAGAACCAUCUGGGGACAUACUGUGGAGUUACUGGGUGGCCACCAUUUCCUGUAUCAGAAGCACAUGGUGAGAACAAUGGAUGGCGGCCAUUUUAACUCACAGACACUGUUUGGACUUUUCAACACGGUGCCAUCUCGCCAGUAUUUGGUGCACAGAGACAUCGUGCAGUGGUUUUGGACUAUACAGCAGGGGACACAUUAUAAAGUGAUUGUUUUUCAUUUAGCCUUUAUAUGUUCUGCAGAAUCUGCAUUAAACUGUAUUUUCCAAAGUACUGAACGGAUCUGGGUGAAUUUUGGAUAUGUGGUUCACCCAGAUCCCCCGGUUCCAA